UGAGGAAUAUUGGUCAAUGGACGGAAGUCUGAACCAGCCAAGUAGCGUGCAGGAUGACGGCCCUAUGGGUUGUAAACUGCUUUUGUAUGGGGAUAAGGUUAGGGACGUGUCCCUAUUUGCAGGUACCAUACGAAUAAGGACCGGCUAAUUCCGUGCCAGCAGCCGCGGUAAUACGGAAGGUUCGGGCGUUAUCCGGAUUUAUUGGGUUUAAAGGGAGCGUAGGCUGGAGAUUAAGUGUGUUGUGAAAUGUAGACGCUCAACGUCUGAAUUGCAGCGCAUACUGGUUUCCUUGAGUACGCACAACGUUGGCGGAAUUCGUCGUGUAGCGGUGAAAUGCUUAGAUAUGACGAAGAACUCCGAUUGCGAAGGCAGCUGACGGGAGCGCAACUGACGCUUAAGCUCGAAGGUGCGGGUAUCAAACAGGAUUAGAUACCCUGGUAGUCCGCACAGUAAACGAUGGAUGCCCGCUGUUGGUACCUGGUAUCAGCGGCUAAGCGAAAGCAUUAAGCAUCCCACCUGGGGAGUACGCCGGCAACGGUG
Molecule: ribosomal RNA, 540 nt
Filed under: uncultured bacterium
Lineage: Bacteria
Description: bacterial SSU rRNA
Rfam family: Bacterial small subunit ribosomal RNA
Source: RNAcentral